This 433-nucleotide ribosomal RNA is filed under the name uncultured bacterium. RNAcentral's name for it is "partial 16S ribosomal RNA". It matches the Rfam family "Bacterial small subunit ribosomal RNA", at positions 29 to 507 of the family's 1533-position model. The record is from RNAcentral.
AACGAACGCUGGCGGCAUGCCUAACACAUGCAAGUCGAACGAGACCUUCGGGUCUAGUGGCGCACGGGUGCGUAACGCGUGGGAACCUGCCCUUAGGUUCGGAAUAACUCCCGGAAGGGGGUCUUAUAACCGGUAAAUGUUUCCGGCCCAAAGAUUUAUCGCCUUUGGAUGGGCCCGCGUUGGAUUAGCUAGUUGGUAGGGUAAAAGCCUACCAAGGCGACGAUCCAUAGCUGGUCUGAGAGGAUGAUCAGCCACACUGGGACUGAGACACGGCCCAGACUCCUACGGGAGGCAGCAGUGGGGAAUAUUGGACAAUGGGCGAAAGCCUGAUCCAGCAAUGCCGCGUGAGUGAUGAAGGCCUUAGGGUUGUAAAGCUCUUUUACCCGGGAUGAUAAUGACAGUACCGGGAGAAUAAGCUCCGGCUAACUCCGUG